RNAcentral lists this ribosomal RNA (944 nucleotides) under Sarcocystis cruzi. Its description in RNAcentral is "bacterial SSU rRNA". It matches the Rfam family "Eukaryotic small subunit ribosomal RNA", at positions 78 to 964 of the family's 1831-position model. The record is from RNAcentral. Lineage: Eukaryota; Apicomplexa; Conoidasida; Eucoccidiorida; Sarcocystidae.
ACGGCGAAACUGCGAAUGGGCAAUCAUUAAAACCGUUAUAGUUUAUUUGAUAGUCCUAUCUAAUGAAAAUCUACUACAUGGAUAACCGUGGUAAUUCGAUGGCUAACUCAUGCGCAAAUAUCCUUUUUCUCUAGAAAUGAAAGAUACUGUGUCUUACAUACAGAACCAAUACACCAUCUGUUAACAGCAGGUGGUGUAAAAAAUGUGAUUCAUAUUAACCGAACGGAUCUCAUUAUGGUCAUUUUAUAUGGGUGGCGAUAGAUCCUUCCAGUUUCUGACCUAUCAACUUUCAACGGUGGUGUAUUGGACUACCGGGACACUGACAGGUAACGGGGAAUUAGGGUUCGAUUCCGGAGAGGGAGCCUGACAAACGGCUACCACAUCUAAGGAAGGCAACAAGCGCGCAAAUUACCCAAUCCUGACUCAUGGAGGUAGUGACAAGAAAUAACAACUCUGGAAAUUUUAUUUCUAUGGAUUGGAAUGAUGGGAAUUUAAACCCCUUUCAUAGUAACAAUUGGAGGGCAAGUCUGGUGCCAUCCGCCGCGGUAAUUCCAACUCCAAUAUCGUAUAUUAAAGUUGUUGCCGUUAAAAAGCUCGUAGUUGGAUGUCUGCUGGAAGCAAUCAUGCCGCCCUAUUUGUAGGGUGUGCACUUGAUGAAUUAUGGCAUCUAUGUCCCAAUAAUAUGAUGGAGUGUACCCUGUGUACACCCAUCUAUAUACGUUAUAAUGCCGUUACUUUGAGAAGAUUAGAGUGUCUGAAGCGUGCUAAUUGCCUUGAAUACUGCUGAAUGGAAUAACUAUAUAGGAUUUCCGUUCUAUUUUGUUGGUAUCUAGGACUGAAAUAUUGAUUAAUAAGGACCUUUGGGGGCAUUCGUUUUUCUAAACUGUCAGAGGUGAAAUUCUUAGAUUUGUUAAAAACUAACUACUGCGAAACCAUUUCAACAA